UAUGGCCAUAACACAUUGAAACACUGGUUCCCAUAGGACCAGCAAAGUUAAGCAAUGUUGUGCCUGGUCAGUUCCUGGAUGGGUGACUACUUGGGCCUACCAGGUGCUGUAAG
Molecule: non-coding RNA, 113 nt
Organism: Acanthosepion pharaonis
Lineage: Eukaryota; Metazoa; Mollusca; Cephalopoda; Sepiida; Sepiidae
Source: the annotation of a GenBank genome assembly